GGCAGGCGCCGCGAGUCCCCUUCGCCCCGCUUGCGGGGAGAAGGUGCCGGCAGGCGGAUGAGGGGCGAUCCGGAGGCGCUCUAUCAGAGCGUGCCGAUCAGUUCGCGGUAAGCGGCCUCU
RNAcentral lists this small RNA (120 nucleotides) under Sinorhizobium meliloti 2011. RNAcentral's name for it is "putative ncRNA". Lineage: Bacteria; Pseudomonadati; Pseudomonadota; Alphaproteobacteria; Hyphomicrobiales; Rhizobiaceae. The record is from RNAcentral.